GUUGAGUGUGGUGUGAAAGAAUGUACCUGGGAGCCAGUGCAGAGACCCUGAGGCAGAAGGCUGCUGGGCUGUAUUGGCCCCAGCCAGGGAUGCGCCACCUUUUUGCUUGUCCACUCACCCACCGGAAGCUGGGCUGUCUCCCUUCUUUGGCUUCUAAGAGUAGAGCUGAGUGACGAAUCUGCCUUUACCCUGAGGUGAGCAGCAGCCAUCUGCCACAGGGUGAGCUCCCUCAGUUUGCUGUUCCCUGGAAGCCAGUGGAGAUCCUGCACUUACUGGAGGUGAUUCCUUUGGGGACCCAUGGGACUCGGAUCACCGCCCACCAAACAUGG
This is a long non-coding RNA of Marmota monax (woodchuck), 329 nucleotides long. RefSeq lists it as uncharacterized. The transcript has 3 exons. Lineage: Eukaryota; Metazoa; Chordata; Mammalia; Rodentia; Sciuridae. The record is from RefSeq and is a predicted model, not a curated record.